This is a long non-coding RNA of Marmota monax (woodchuck), 1276 nucleotides long. RefSeq lists it as uncharacterized. NCBI's taxonomy places the organism in Eukaryota, Metazoa, Chordata, Mammalia, Rodentia, Sciuridae. The transcript is spliced from 4 exons. The record is from RefSeq and is a predicted model, not a curated record.
UCGCGUUCUUUCAGCGAUCGGCCGCGUGUCUGGGAAGCGUGGCGCCACGGUUGGGCGCAGCACCGCUGAGCAGCCCUCUAGGCUUUGGGUGAUGAUAAGGUUGCGGAGGUGGGAAAACGGGGCUUUCUUCAACACCGGGGUAGCACUGAGAGGCGAAGUGGUGACCAUCAGCCCGGCCUCCCUCUCACGGAGUGGUGGUAGGGUUGAGGUUCUGUACGAGGAAAUGCCUCCCAAACGGCGAGAAAUUGGGAAGGACGAGAGCUGAACCCCGUUUUUGGCGUCGCAGGGUUCCUCCUGGGAGAGGGAGGUCCUUGCAGUUUGCGCGACCCCGUGCGUCCACCUUCGUGCUGAGCACGCGCGCCCGGCGGCCCUGGGCCUGUCGGGCUCCCUGUCCACCUGUGGACAGGUUAGGCCCGGGGGCAGGCUAGGCGCGUGGCACUGCAGCAUUCGGCCUCGGGAGUGUGAGCGCGGGAAUGCACCCUUGCCCUGAGAGCCUUGAGAACACCCAGGCAGUCGUUUUUAUUUACUAAUGGUAGUGAAAGGGAUUGUAGACUUUGGAAAUCUGGUUAUACUAUUUUUUUCUUACCAGUACCAGGGAUUGAACCCAGAGGGAUUUACUAUUGAGCUACAUUAUUUUAGCUUUUUUUAUUCACUCGUUUUAAAAUUUUGAGACGGGAUCUUGCCAAUUCGCAGAAACUGACCCGAAUUUGCCAUCCUACUGCCUUAACACCGCCCCACCCGCCUCCUUCGCUGGGAUUAGCGUUGUGCGCCAUCGCGCCUGGCUGGAAAUCUAGUUUUGAUAACGAAACUUUGUUUCCAUUUUUGAAAGCCUUUCUCUAGCUUCUGGGGAGAUGAGAAGCAGAGCUGCAGGUUGCAGUUUAAAAGUAACGGAACCGCAAAAUGAGAAGAGAUGGAUGCAAGCAGGACCUGGGGGUGGUCACCAGAAAGCAGAGAUGGCGUGAUGUCCCGGCACAUCCACCUCAUAAGUUGUUCGAAGUUAAGUUGAACUAUCCAUGGUAUUGGCUGUGGACUUGUGAAACCCAUCAUCUUAAAAUAUUGACCUUAAGAAUUUUUGUGAUGAAAUUUCUGUAAAUGGUGCAGUCUCUGCUUCAGUUGGAAAAGGACCCUCUAGCAGCCACAUUGUGGCAGGCACCAUGGACCUGAACCCCAAGUGGAAUCUCUCAUGUAAGCAGAGAAGUCCUGCUGCACAUGCUUGGGUGAAGGGUAUCUACUCAGCGAGGUUACUAACUGUAAACUGCUUUACCAGAAGGCAAGU